UGGCUCCAGUCAGGCUUCCCAUGAGAGGUCCCAGGGCCCCACGGCAUCCAAGACUCAACCUGACAGACCCCAGUAGGGCUGGCAGCUAGCGGUCAACACCCCAACUGUGGUGGGGACCCCUUAGCCUCCCUGGGCUCCAGCUCCAGGCCUGGAGGGGCUGAACAGGCAGACGUAGUCACAGCUGACAGAACUCUGAGAAGCAGCUUGUAAUGAGCACCAUUGGCUGGCAGUUUUUUUUUUUUUAAUUAAAAGAAAUUGUUUUUGAGACAGAGUCCCACUCUGUCCCCCAGGCUGGAGUGCAGUGGCACGAUCUCGGCUCACUGCAACCUCUGCCUCCUGGGUUCAAGUGAUUCUUCUGCCUCAGCCUCCUGAGUAGCUGGAAUUACAGGCAUGCGCCACUGCCUGGCUAGUUUUUAUAUUUUUAGUAGAGAGGUUUUGCCACACUGGCCAGGCCAGUCUUGAACUCCUGACCUAAGGUGAUCUACCUGCCUCGGCCUCCCAAAAUGCUGAGAUUACAGGCGUGAGCCACCCUGCCUGGCUGGCUGACAGUUUUAUGUUACCAUGAGGGCAGCUCCUUGUCAAGGCAGGUCUAUGGUUGGAUUACAGCUUAUUAAUGAGAUUGCAAAUCACAUGUCUCUCCUGCAUGUGCCCACUCCCCCACAGGCCUGCGUGGUGCUCGAUAAGCAGCAGGCCCAGGGAGAGAGACCUGGAAGGUCACCGUGAAGGUGAGACGAGGAGGACACUAGGAACCAGGGGAGGCAGUGAAGGGCCUCGAAGAGCCUCUCCCCUCUGAGGAGUGCAGGCUGAGCUGGGCCUGGCUUCAGGCCUGGAGCCGGGGCAGCCAAGGCUGUGUCUCUGAGGAGCCUCCAGCAACUCUGAGGCCAGAGCUCUGUGGAGUGAGGGAAAUGCCUGGGCUGUUCUGCCGGUUCUGCAUCCUGGGAGGCCCCCAGGGCCACAGGGAGACCUGAGUUCAAACCCUGCUCAUGCUGGGGGACUGCCCUUCUCUGAGCCUCAGUUUCCUCAUCUGUAAAGUGGGGGUGACCAUAGCUGAUUCUGUGGGACCUGGAGUAAGCCCCUGGGACAGGUGGUGCUGUUUGUGUGAUAUAGCUAACUUAAGUUGGAACCUGUAUACUGCCAUCUUAUAAAAGACAAAAAUGUUUCCAUUCUCCUCAAGGACUGCUAACCUUGGUUUCUGUAAAUUGCUAGAUCAUUUGCAGGAUGCAAAGAGAGGUAAAGCUGCAUACCUUCUCUUAUCUGCCAGAAUUGCUGGCCUUUGUUUCCCAGAGUAAGCACCCCCAGAUCAUUCCAUCCUGGCGCCAAGCAACUGAAAAUCUAUGGAUCCCACCGCUACCCAGACGAUGUGUAAAUGAAUGCUAAUCUUAGCAUCUGUGAACCCUUAAAUAACAAUCAGAAUGUCAAAUAGUCCCCUGGCCCUUGAAAUGUCCGGAACCCCCUCACCCUCCUCUCCACCCAGAAGGUGAUUUGAAUCCACUGGCCCUCGGAAUGUCUGAAGCCCCUCACCCUCGUCUUAGCCUGGGAGGUGAUUGACAGCUUUCAUUCCCAUCUCCACUCCCACUCCCAAGGUGGUUUUGCGGGUAUAAAAAGGUCUUGUUUCUUUUCAUUCGGGGCCACAGGUUGGAGAGACGUGAGUCCUCCAUGGUCGCUGGCAAUAAACCCUGCAAUUUGGCAUACUUUUGUUCUGGUGUUGACUUUCUGUGCUAAGUUCAAUGCAACAUUUGUGCCUGUCUUCUCCAUCUGAGGGGGCUUCCUGGGCACCCUGGAUACCCUGGAUGGGCAUGGAGUGCCUGUGAGCCUCUGUGUGGGAGCCUCCGCCACAAGGCAUUGUGCAGGGAAGCCUCCAGAGCUCACAUCCCUUCUCCUAGAGAGGACUAGGCCUGAACAUGGCCCCCAGAGCUGCUCUUUGGGGACCAGCGGUGACAGCCUCAGCUGGGAGGGCCCGGGGAAUGCUGGACCAUGUGCCCACCGUACAGAGGGCCCAGCUCACUGCCAAGGUAAGCACCACCGAGGGGUACAGCACUGCUGCAUGG
This is a long non-coding RNA of Callithrix jacchus (white-tufted-ear marmoset), 2048 nucleotides long. Lineage: Eukaryota; Metazoa; Chordata; Mammalia; Primates; Cebidae. The record is from Ensembl.